Molecule: ribosomal RNA, 425 nt
Filed under: uncultured bacterium
Lineage: Bacteria
Description: bacterial SSU rRNA
Rfam family: Bacterial small subunit ribosomal RNA
Source: RNAcentral
GUUAGGAAUAUUGGACAAUGGGCGCAAGCCUGAUCCAGCCAUGCCGCGUGUGUGAUGAAGGCCCUAGGGUUGUAAAGCACUUUCGUUGGGGAUGAUAAUGACCGUACCCAAAGAAGAAGCCACGGCUAAAUUCGUGCCAGCAGCCGCGGUAAUACGAAUGUGGCAAGCGUUGUUCGGAAUCACUGGGCGUAAAGAAUGCGUAGGCGGCUUGACAAGUCAGGAGUGAAAUCCCCAGGCUCAACCUGGGAACUGCUUUUGAAACUGUCUUGCUAGAGUCCCGGAGGGGUUGGCGGAAUUCCGAGUGUAGAGGUGGAAUUCGCAGAUAUUCGGAGGAACACCAGUGGCGUAGGCGGCCAACUGGACGGGAACUGACGCUGAGGCAUGAAAGUGUGGGGAGCAAACAGGAUUAGAAACCCGAGUAGUCC